RNAcentral lists this ribosomal RNA (427 nucleotides) under uncultured bacterium. RNAcentral's name for it is "bacterial SSU rRNA". It matches the Rfam family "Bacterial small subunit ribosomal RNA", at positions 357 to 776 of the family's 1533-position model. The record is from RNAcentral.
GGGAAUAUUGCACAAUGGGCGCAAGCCUGAUGCAGCCAUGCCGCGUGUAUGAAGAAGGCCUUCGGGUUGUAAAGUACUUUCAGCGGGGAGGAAGGGAGUAAAGUUAAUACCUUUGCUCAUUGACGUUACCCGCAGAAGAAGCACCGGCUAACUACGUGCCAGCAGCCGCGGUAAUACGUAGGUGGCAAGCGUUGUCCGGAUUUAUUGGGCGUAAAGCGAGCGCAGGCGGAAGAAUAAGUCUGAUGUGAAAUCCCCGGGCUCAACCUGGGAACUGCAUCUGAUACUGGCAAGCUUGAGUCUCGUAGAGGGGGGUAGAAUUCCAGGUGUAGCGGUGAAAUGCGUAGAGAUCUGGAGGAAUACCGGUGGCGAAGGCGGCCCCCUGGACGAAGACUGACGCUCAGGUGCGAAAGCGUGGGGAGCAAACAGG